Molecule: long non-coding RNA, 436 nt
Organism: Nothoprocta perdicaria
Lineage: Eukaryota; Metazoa; Chordata; Aves; Tinamiformes; Tinamidae
Exons: 6
Source: RefSeq, a predicted model, not a curated record
AAAGAAGGGAUCUUUUUGCUUCUCUGGUAAAUCAAGCUGAGACUGCUUUUCUGGAAGAGGAGUUUCCCUCCCCAAGAAGCUCCUGAGCUCAGUGACGGCCCAGUGGAAGAAUUUUUACUUCAACAAUGUUGGAACUCUAACCAGAAUCAGAAAUGUUACACAAAAGUAUGGAGUUGUUCUAGCCCUCAUCUUUGAGGCGUUGGAUUUAAGCAUUGCAGAGGAAGAUGUGUAACAGCACAGGAAUCAAGGCUGAAAGAAGCUGAAGGCUGAAAGAAGCCUUCUAGGAAUGCUUCCAAGUAUCUUCCAAGUCUUAAUUUGAAGGCACAUUAAGAUGAACUGCAAGCAUGCAACCCUCCACAAGUCUGGGUUAAACCAGGCACUGUUCCUUCAGAAAGGAAGAAGGGCAGAAGUGUGAGUCUUAGUUUGGAGAAGAGGA